UAUUAGCUUGGUGCAAAAGUAAUUGCGGUUUUUGCCAUUGAAAGUAAUGGCAAAAACCGCAAUUACUUUUGCACCAACCUUGUA
Molecule: microRNA precursor, 84 nt
Filed under: Gorilla gorilla gorilla (western lowland gorilla)
Lineage: Eukaryota; Metazoa; Chordata; Mammalia; Primates; Hominidae
Description: mir-548 microRNA precursor family
Rfam family: mir-548 microRNA precursor family
Source: Rfam by way of RNAcentral